Molecule: long non-coding RNA, 755 nt
Filed under: Ananas comosus (pineapple)
Lineage: Eukaryota; Viridiplantae; Streptophyta; Magnoliopsida; Poales; Bromeliaceae
Description: long non-coding RNA (ACOM_LNC018796)
Source: RNAcentral
CGGAGAAAGAUAAGUUUGUAAAGAUCUUAUUCUAUUAUAUGCAUAUAUACAAAAGGUGUUCGUGGACCAGAUCGGAUCUGUAUAAUUGAUAUAUUAUUUCUACAGCCUAAAAAGAAAUGGGUAUAGAAAAAAAAAUAUACCUUAUCAAUUUAACUUGGGAACAGUUUUGAGUAUGAGUACUUAAGUUAAUAAUAUAUUCAUCGGAUCUAUUUGAGUGGGUCUGGAUAUAAUUAUCCGUAUACCACCUGCUUAAAAUUAGGUAUCGAUCGGAUACGGGUCGGAUCUACAUCGGAUGCGGAUACUCGUAUGCAUACAUUUUUUAUAUACUUUAUCAGACAAUUUAUAAAUAAAUUAUAAAUCUCUCAUUAUAAAAAAUCUGCGUUUUAAUUAAUUGCACCUAGUCCAAUAAAAUUUGUUCAAAAAAAAUUCAAAUGGUAAGCAGCUAGAAUUAACAAAAUACAGAGUAAAAUAAAAGAAAGAAAUAAACGGAGCAACUAGAGUUUUUAUUAUGAUGAAAAUAUAUAGAGAUCGUUCAUUUAUAAGUCUUAUUGAAAUUGAUCUUUCAACUUUAAUUUUUUUUAAUUUAUUUAUUGUCGAGUAUUUCACUGUGUUUGGAUUCUGGUUCGGAUUUGAAAACUCUUUUUGACCCUACCCAUUAAAGGUUGGGUCAGAUCGGAUCUAAGCCGGGUAAAGAUAUGAAAUAUCCAGAUUCAUACUUACAAUUUUAAUAAAUUUUUUUAAUUCAUAUACUAUAU